UUCUUUCGAAACAUAAGUUAAAUACCACUUUGGUGCCUCAAAUACAGAUUUCUUCAAAGUAGCACAAUUUUAGGUAAAAAGCCAAGCCUCCCGCAGUGUUUGCUUCAGACAAGUUCCAAAUGCCCCGAGACACCAACAGGAUGCAGUACAUUUAUGGAAUCAGCCUGCGGCUUGGAGGAGGCACACUCCUUGGCAUCCUCUUUGAAAACCCACCUCCAGCAUUUCUUUUUCCGCAGAAACUGCUGUUUCAUGGAUAAGCAUGUUAACAGGCAUGAGUCCCGCAGGAGACUGAAGCCAGGCAAUUCAAAGGCUGAAAGUCUGGCUUCUCAGAGCCACACAGCUCAGGGUCAAUGGGAAGCCAUGCAGGUAUGGAAACAAGCUUGAGAUGUUAAUCAGGGCUGCUCAAGGAAUGCUGAUAGGGGCCACCCAGGAAAGAGUGAGCCAGAGCCUGCAGGGGGCUGGAAGGUGCUGUGGAAAUCUCAUUUCCUUCGCAGGCAGCAGGGAGACUGGAAAUGCAUGGACUGGGCAGAAGCUAGGGUGAAGGCCUGACCCAGUCAACAAAGAACUCCAGGCUUAGAGUUUUGAGGACAUGGAAGAUGAAGAAUGGAGCUCAGAGAGGCUUCGUACCUGCCCAUAGCUGCACAGUGGCUGUCACUCCUGCUCAGACACACCACUGACUCUAAAGCCACGCUACAAGUCUCCUGAUAGACAGAUGGAUAGAUGGAUUGGCAGAAAGCACAAGAUCCAGUGAAGAAAGCAAGACAGAAUAAGAAGAGAAGUACUUUGUAGAUUGGUAGCCUUGGACAUCUUGGGGGGGUACAGUGAAGAUUUUUAGGACAUGCCUUGGAAAGCAUUGUAUAAGGGAAAAGAAGCUAUGGAAACAGUGGGGUAAAGAAACCAUGGGCCAAGUUUGUCUACUUUAUAAUACUUCUGUUCAGAAAUAAUCUAUGUAAAGCACCUAUAAAAGUGCCUGGCAAAAUAAGCAUUACAUAAGGGCUUGCUUUUAUUAUUUCUAAUACUGAUGUCUCAGGGAUUGUGUGUUCCAGAGGAGGCAGCUGGUACUACUGUGUAGUCAACUGGCAGAAGGUUGUAGAAUAUCUGACAGUUUAAGAGCUGUUGAGAAUGGUCAGGACCCUUCAUUCCUGAAGCUGAGGCCGGUAACCAAUGGCAACCGAUCCCAUUAUGGCGGUACUAACCCUCCCCACAGCAGAUGUCGCACAGAUGUCUCAUCAGCACCUAUG
Meriones unguiculatus (Mongolian gerbil) is the source of this 1241-nucleotide long non-coding RNA. RefSeq lists it as uncharacterized. The record is from RefSeq and is a predicted model, not a curated record. The transcript is spliced from 3 exons. Lineage: Eukaryota; Metazoa; Chordata; Mammalia; Rodentia; Muridae.